AAUAAAAUGCCUGAUCAAAGGAAUAUUCUGAUAGAAUAUAUAACGUAAAAAAUUACUUUUAUUU
RNAcentral lists this transfer RNA (64 nucleotides) under Pseudoneureclipsis sibuyana. RNAcentral describes it as "tRNA-Ile". Lineage: Eukaryota; Metazoa; Arthropoda; Insecta; Trichoptera; Polycentropodidae. The record is from RNAcentral.